RNAcentral lists this long non-coding RNA (2286 nucleotides) under Olea europaea subsp. europaea. Lineage: Eukaryota; Viridiplantae; Streptophyta; Magnoliopsida; Lamiales; Oleaceae. The record is from RNAcentral.
AAACAAAAUUCAAUACUAUAAAAUUAACUAUACAUAAUAAAAUUAAAAACUUUUUUGCGAAAAGUAAAAUCAUAUUUCAAACUAAAUCUCUAAAAUAAAAAUAAAAAUGUUAGAGAUAUAAAUAAACUAAUCUAUAUUUUCCAUCACACCACCUCCAAUCAAAUGAUUAAUAUUCUCAUUUGGAUAAACAAAAAAAUCGGAGACAUUCAAAUGAAUCACAUCAAUUGAAUCAUCAUAGUCAACAAAAUUUGUCUCAAUUUUUCUCUUUCUCUUGAUUGAUUUUUUGUAGAGAUCUACAAGAUAUUUUGCUGUGCGAUGGGUACAUGUCCAAUGCCCAUUCGUUCCACAUUUAAAGCGACUUUCUUCUACCCACUUUUUGGAUGUGCUAUUUUCGUUUGUUUUGUGCCUCUUGAAAUAAUUGCCUUGUAGUUGAUAAUUUUGUUGGUUUAUUCCACGUGCACGUCCACAUCCACAUUCUUGUCUUGAUAUUAUCCAUGUAUAGCUUCAGGCAAUGGUACAGAACCACUUGAACGUAAUCCAUGAUUUUUCAUCAGGAGUUCAUUAUUCUCUCCAACAAAAAGUAAGCAAGAUAUAAGUUCUGAGUACGUUUUGAAUCACGCUCACAAUAUUGUUGCUGUAGGAGCACAUUUGAUGCGUGAAAUGUGGAAAAAGUUUUCUACAACAUAUCUGCAUCGGUGUUUUUCUUCUACAAAAGGUUAAUUUUGAACAGUUUAGAAUUGUACUCACUAGAAGUUUUGAAGUCUUGCAAACGAAGGUGUAUCUACUCAUAGUGGGCUUUGGAGAGAACUAUAGUCCCCUGAUGAUCAAAUCUCUGAGUUAAUUUUUUCAAAUAAACUAUAGAUCUUUUUCAGUGAGAUAUUCAAUUUUCAAUCUAUCUUACAGAUGACGGCGAACAAAGAUGCAUGCACAAUCCUACAGGAAUUACUUGUUUCCUUCUUUUAUUAUAUCUCCCAAACCUUUUGAGACAAGAUAGAUAUCAGCAUCGAGCAUCCAUGAUAGAUAGUUUUUGCUAGAUAUGUAAAGUGCAGCAAACUCAAAUUUUGUAAUGUUUGACAUUUGAUUAACUAAAUAAUAAAGAAAAUACAAUUAAUUUCGAAGAAUAUGAUUAAAUAUCACAUAAUGGUUAAUCAAAUAAUCGAUAUAAACAUGACAUAAGUUACGUGUGUUCCUUCAACGAUAAGCACUAAAAUAAUAUGUUUUUCGAAACAUGUCCUACUUUACAUAUUAUUACUUCUUACAUAUAAUAAACAUGAGCUACUUUACAAAAACAUGUGAUAUUUCAAGAGUACAUUGUAUUUUAUUAUUACUUCUUCAAGAGUAAUAUAUCAAUAUUCUUCUAGAAUGUUGAAAAUCAUAAUUUAUGCUUUUCAAAAGCACGUAAUAUUCUUCAAUGAUAUUAAUUAUGAUGUCAUGCUAUUUCAGGAGCAACAACAAAUAAUUUAUAAUAAGAGGCAAAUCCAACAUCAAUGUCCAGUUAGGACGGAGGUUGAUCGUUGACCGUCGACAAUCAACAUCGUAAUAAUCCGAUCGUUAUUAAAAUUUGAUUAAAUAAUAUUAAAAGUUAUUCAAUAUAUAUGUAAAUAAAAUUUUUCAAUUAGAAUUGAUUAAAAAAAAAGUACCGAGUACACACAUAUUGAAUUAAGUAGCUAACAUCUUUUUAAUUAAUUUUUUUCACUUAUCCUAAUUUCUUAAACAUAAAUUCUCAAACAAAUAAUCCUAACUCAUGUCUCAUAAAGCAUAAAUUACUUAUCAUAAAUCACAAUCACAAUUCUCCAUAAUAACUCACAAGUCACAAAGCAUAAAUCACAAUUCAUAACUCAUUAUUUACAAGACUAAUAAGUAAUAACAAUUAACACAAUUCACAUACAAUAAACUUCAUUAUUUAACAAAUCAAGUAGAAAUAGCCAACAAAAUAGAACAAAAAUAAUACCCAAAAGAAAAGCAGCAACAAAAUAGAACAAAAAUCACUCACCAGUCCCCAAGCGAAGCUGAAUUCUCUUCACCCUGCUGUCUGUAGUCUGCUUACCAGAACGAAAAGUUCAAACCUCGGAACGACAGUCGGACUCGACAGAAGUAGAACCAGGCUUUAAGUUUCUGGUCUUGGCUAAUGACUGGCAGCGCAGUUGAACGGAAUUAGAAAGGGAGAAGGAAAAGGGUUUGCACUUUGCGGCUUCUGGAGUUGGGAUUUGAGAAUGAGAAAUUAAGAGUCAAUUUGGUGGAGUAAUUGGAGUUUGCUGUUUGGAAUUGGACCAUUCUUGAUUUGAG